Molecule: long non-coding RNA, 254 nt
Organism: Rhagoletis pomonella (apple maggot)
Lineage: Eukaryota; Metazoa; Arthropoda; Insecta; Diptera; Tephritidae
Exons: 3
Source: RefSeq, a predicted model, not a curated record
CUAAAAGCUUUAUUAAAGCACUGCUGCGGAAACAUUUGAAGGAUGAGUUUCUAAAUUUCAUAAAGGUACGGGUGACCUGAAUGGACGGCUUUGUUUUUAUAACAUUACAUAUUUGUUAUUGAGCUGCAAUAGUUGCAACAGGGCACGUUGUGUUCUAAAAACAUCCUUUUAAAAUACCCCACACCCCAGUGUUAUACAGCGUGUGAAUCAUCUGGAAUUGAGAAAACGUCGGGACAGCUCAGCUCGGAAAUUUG